AAAGCACAAGCUUCACUUCUGUCUUUGUCUCUCUUUAUCACUCUCUGUUCUUAUCUCUAUUUCUCACCUUGAGAAACUCUAAGAAAGAAGAAAAAAAAAUGAGUGGAGUUAACUUCAGAAGUCUCACAUUUAUGAUUUUAAUUGCAUUUUUUGUACGGUGUUCAAGUAUUGAAACAUGAAUUACAGCUGGCUAAAGUUAUCCAAGAACAGUUUGAGUAAUUCAGAAGCUCAUUUUGGUUGGAAGCUGGUUGGAGCAACUCCACACUAUCCAUCGGCUCAUUUCAGUAUAUAUAGUAAAUUAAUUUUGGUUAUAAUGACAUGUAUAGGUUAAUUUGGCCAAUGUUGGCAUAUAAAUGUUUUGUUGGAACUAGCCAUUUGAAUGACUUGUACUGGGUAUAUAUUUUGAUGUGUGUUCGUAAUGAUUGAAUGAUGGAUAAAUAUUAGGUAUAUUGAAGGUUGGUUUGAA
Molecule: long non-coding RNA, 466 nt
Organism: Gossypium arboreum
Lineage: Eukaryota; Viridiplantae; Streptophyta; Magnoliopsida; Malvales; Malvaceae
Exons: 2
Source: RefSeq, a predicted model, not a curated record